UCAUAAUGCUGACUUCACUACUGAUAGUU
Molecule: non-coding RNA, 29 nt
Filed under: Rattus norvegicus (Norway rat)
Lineage: Eukaryota; Metazoa; Chordata; Mammalia; Rodentia; Muridae
Source: RNAcentral